RNAcentral lists this long non-coding RNA (291 nucleotides) under Elaeis guineensis (African oil palm). RNAcentral's name for it is "long non-coding RNA (EGUI_LNC074096)". Lineage: Eukaryota; Viridiplantae; Streptophyta; Magnoliopsida; Arecales; Arecaceae. The record is from RNAcentral.
GUGCCUUCACUGAUCUUCGUUGCCUCACCGACUCCAGUGUCAGAGGGUCCUGCACUGGUAGGUCCCAAUGAGCCGGGUACGAGUGAGGCAGAUCUCAAUAAGGUGGGUCCCAUUGGUAUUAAUUAUUAUACUUUAUAUAUAAUAAAAUUUGAUUCUUUUGUUUGGAUCAUACUAAUGAUUUAUUUAUUGUUGUUUUAAGUUAGUCUACAUCGAUGGUCAGGCGAGGGCGAGGUCCAUCGAAGAACCUCACUUUAGAGCAUUGGAGAAGCAAGUACCCGGGACAGCAUCUCC